This 301-nucleotide ribosomal RNA is filed under the name uncultured bacterium. RNAcentral's name for it is "partial 16S ribosomal RNA". It matches the Rfam family "Bacterial small subunit ribosomal RNA", at positions 509 to 807 of the family's 1533-position model. The record is from RNAcentral.
CAGCAGCCGCGGUAAUACAGAGGGUGCGAGCGUUAAUCGGAUUUACUGGGCGUAAAGCGUGCGUAGGCGGCUUUUUAAGUCGGAUGUGAAAUCCCUGAGCUUAACUUAGGAAUUGCAUUCGAUACUGGGAAGCUAGAGUAUGGGAGAGGAUGGUAGAAUUCCAGGUGUAGCGGUUAAAUGCGUAGAGAUCUGGAGGAAUACCGAUGGCGAAGGCAGCCAUCUGGCCUAAUACUGACGCUGAGGUACGAAAGCAUGGGGAGCAAACAGGAUUAGAUACCCCUGUAGUCCCUGUCUCUUAUAC